UCCGGUUGAUCCUGGCAGAGGUUACUGCUAUCGAGGUUCGACUAAGCCAUGCGAGUCGAAUGUAGCAAUACAUGGCGAACUGCUCAGUAACACGUGGACAACCUGCCCUUAGGUUGGGUAUAAACCCGGGAAACUGGGUAUAAUACCCGAUAGGUCUCGAUUGCUGGAAUGCAUCGAGAUUUAAAGCUCCGGCGCCUAAGGAUGGGUCUGCGGCCUAUCAGGUAGUAGUGGGUGUAGCGUACCUACUAGCCUACGACGGGUACGGGUUGUGAGAGCAAGAGCCCGGAGAUGGAUUCUGAGACACGAAUCCAGGCCCUACGGGGUGCAGCAGGCGCGAAAACUUUACAAUGCUGGCAACAGCGAUAAGGGAACCUCGAGUGCCAGGUUACAAAUCUGGCUGUCGAGAUGCCUAAAAAGCAUUUCAUAGCAAGGGCCGGGCAAGACCGGUGCCAGCCGCCGCGGUAACACCGGCGGCUCGAGUGGUAACCGUUAUUAUUGGG
Molecule: ribosomal RNA, 500 nt
Filed under: uncultured methanogenic archaeon
Lineage: Archaea; Methanobacteriati; Methanobacteriota
Description: bacterial SSU rRNA
Rfam family: Archaeal small subunit ribosomal RNA
Source: RNAcentral